GUGCAUGAGUAAACUGCCAGCCAGAAAAUCUCUUUUGUGCACUGAGAACCGGGGAUGCUGGUAUCUGUGGUGAAACACAGAGGGAGGUGUGUUUUUUUGAAAAAGAAUUUCAAAUCCUGUUCCUGUAGCCAGCACCUGUAGUCUGAGGGUUCAGCCAUCUCUUCAGUCAAGAGCCUGCAGUUGAAUUGCUACCCAUCUCCAGCAACAGAUGGAGCUCAGAAGAUGCUCAGCCCAUCUGAGAUUUUUUUUCUGAUAUCGAGAAUUACUUGGAAGGAACUUCGAAUUUAACUUUCCAAAUUAAGAAAACUUCACCAGCGGAAUGCCAGCAAUUGGGAAUGUUGACUUCUGAGAAUUUCCUGCAAUGUGCAGUAAUUUUCUAUUCUGGGGAAUAGAAAAGGAUCCCACACAUCAGAAGAUGAACAGAAGCCACAAUGGAGUAUUUCCACACAUUGACCUUUUCCAGAUACAAUUUCACUUCUGUUGAUAGUACAGCAAGUCUAAACACAUUCCACAAUGACUCUCUGGCUUGCUUCCUGUAGUUGAAACUUACUCCCAAACUUGCUGUCAGUUUUCCUGCAGGUUAGAAGAAUCAGUCUUUAGGGACUGCCUGGUCUCCUAUGACUUGAAAAGUGGGACUCCCUGUUUUGUGCCGUGAGUAUCACACUCUGCCGUGGCAGUGGAACAGGAAGCUGCUGACUAACAGAUUUGUGCAACUGCUGCUUUUUUAAGUGAGAAGAUCAAUGUUUUCUCCAAAAUAUCAAAGUGCUGGUAGCUGUUUUCUACUAAGUAAAAUGUGAAAAAAAUCAAGUCAGAAAAAAACCUCAUAUGUAAACUUUUCUAAAUCAACUCCUAAACUUGUAGCCUGAGGAAGCUAAUGUUUAUUUAAAAAAAAAUGGUUUAAUUUUUUACAUUCUUGUAAGUUAGCUGUAAUUUUAAUUUCGGCUUUCUAUAGAAAGUGUUCUGGGUGACCUCUGCUGGUUGGCUAAAUAAAGUUAGCCCUGUACAUCUUUUCCAAGUCUUUCAAACAGGAACAACAAUCCACUAACACUGGAAACAGCAUCAAUUCCUUUUUGUUAAGAGAAAGCAAAUUAUCUGCUAAGAAUCAUGACAUAUAUCAUCUAUGAAGAACAGUUUAAGAAAAUAAAGGAUUACUUGCAUUGUGAUAAUUUUCAUAUUUUACCAUUAUUUUUCUCUCUGUACAUACAGUUAAUACAUGACAGUGAAAGUGGACUAAAAAGAAUGUUUAAAAAUUACUAACCAGUGUGAGAUAUUACAAUUGUACCUCUGACUGACACGGAUGGAAGAUUGAUAUGAUCUGGUAAACAUAUUAAAUCUUUCUAAAUGACUUCUAAGAGGUGAUUUUUUCAGGACAAGUAUGUGCUCAGGCUGGUUGCACAAAGGGAACAAAACACAUGGCAAGAAGGAUGACUUCAUGCAUAAACCCUCAGGACUACUUUUAGUUGUAAGUUCUAGCAAAUACUAGCUUGCAAACAGAAUGACUGAACCAGUAGUAAAAUAUUUUCCUCUCCAUGGCAAAGUUUAAAGAUGUGGCCAAUGUAAUUUUCCUUAUACAACUCUGUAAAUAUUUCACUUCUGCAGUUGUGCUCAAAAAAAAAAAAAAAACAAACAACCCUUUGAUGCAAAGAAAAUUUCACUCCACAGCUUAAUGUAGAAAUUUAGGAGCAACAGAAGCUUAUAGCACAAGUGUAAUAGAAGCUCAAUAUAGGAAAAACCUAAAAAUUAUUAGUUCCAAUGAGACAAAAUAAAUUGCCAUUGUUUAGACUAUUUUAAUGAAAGAGGUCUUAGUUAUGAAAAUGGUACUAUUCUUGAAAUACAGCAUGAUUGGAUUCAACUGCACUACCAUGAAAAAAUUAGCCAUAGCAUAUUACACAUCACAGCCUCAUGAUUUCAUUUGCUCCACCUCUCUCUGUGUGAAGG
Long non-coding RNA from Oenanthe melanoleuca, 1938 nucleotides. RefSeq lists it as uncharacterized. The transcript has 4 exons. The record is from RefSeq and is a predicted model, not a curated record. NCBI's taxonomy places the organism in Eukaryota, Metazoa, Chordata, Aves, Passeriformes, Muscicapidae.